This 253-nucleotide ribosomal RNA is filed under the name uncultured bacterium. RNAcentral's name for it is "partial 16S ribosomal RNA". It matches the Rfam family "Bacterial small subunit ribosomal RNA", at positions 524 to 776 of the family's 1533-position model. The record is from RNAcentral.
UACGUAGGGUCCGAGCGUUGUCCGGAAUUAUUGGGCGUAAAGGGCUCGUAGGCGGUCUGUUGCGUCGGGUGUGAAAACUUACAGCUUAACUGUGAGCGUGCUUCCGAUACGGGCAGACUUGAGGUAUUCAGGGGAGAGCGGAAUUCCUGGUGUAGCGGUGAAAUGCGCAGAUAUCAGGAGGAACACCGGUGGCGAAGGCGGUUCUCUGGGAAUAUCCUGACGCUGAGGAGCGAAAGUGUGGGGAGCGAACAGG